ACCCAGACUCCUACGGGAGGCAGCAGUGGGGGAUAUUGCACAAUGGGGGAAACCCUGAUGCAGCGACGCCGCGUGGGUGAAGAAGCGCCUCGGCGCGUAAAGCCCUGUCAGCAGGGAAGAAAAUGACGGUACCUGAAGAAGAAGCCCCGGCUAACUACGUGCCAGCAGCCGCGGUAAUACGUAGGGGGCAAGCGUUAUCCGGAUUUACUGGGUGUAAAGGGGGCGCAGACGGCAGCGCAAGCCAGGAGUGAAAGCCCGGGGCCCAACCCCGGGACUGCUCUUGGAACUGCGCGGCUGGAGUGCAGGAGGGGCAGGCGGAAUUCCUGGUGUAGCGGUGAAAUGCGUAGAUAUUAGGAGGAACACCAGUGGCGAAGGCGGCCUGCUGGGCUUUUACUGACGCUGAGGCUCGAAAGUGUGGGGAGCAAACAGGAUUAGAUACCCCGGUAAU
RNAcentral lists this ribosomal RNA (448 nucleotides) under uncultured bacterium. RNAcentral describes it as "bacterial SSU rRNA". It matches the Rfam family "Bacterial small subunit ribosomal RNA", at positions 329 to 794 of the family's 1533-position model. The record is from RNAcentral.